Molecule: transfer RNA, 73 nt
Filed under: Babesia caballi
Lineage: Eukaryota; Apicomplexa; Aconoidasida; Piroplasmida; Babesiidae
Description: tRNA-Thr
Rfam family: tRNA
About the family: Transfer RNA (tRNA) molecules are approximately 80 nucleotides in length. Their secondary structure includes four short double-helical elements and three loops (D, anti-codon, and T loops).
Source: RNAcentral
GCCACUUUAGCACAGUGGUAGUGCAUCGGUCUUGUAAACCGGAGGUCACGGGUUCGAUCCCCGUAGGUGGCUU